RNAcentral lists this ribosomal RNA (1138 nucleotides) under Arthrobacter sp. B912. RNAcentral describes it as "partial 16S ribosomal RNA". It matches the Rfam family "Bacterial small subunit ribosomal RNA", at positions 306 to 1459 of the family's 1533-position model. Lineage: Bacteria; Bacillati; Actinomycetota; Actinomycetes; Micrococcales; Micrococcaceae. The record is from RNAcentral.
GGCAUCACUGGACUGAGNCNNNNCCNGACUCCCUACCGNANGUCAGCAGUGGGCANNUNGCNCAAUNGGCNCAAGCUUNAUGCAGCGACGCCGNNUGAGGGAUGACGGCUUNNNNUGUAACCUCUUUCAGUAGGANGAAGCGAAAGUGACGGUACCUGCAGAAGAAGCCCGGCUAACUACGUGNCAGCAGCGCGGUAAUACGUAGGGCGCAAGCGUUAUCCGGAAUUAUUGGGCGUAAAGAGCUCGUAGGCGGUUUGUCGCGUCUGCCGUGAAAGUCCGGGGCUCAACUCNGGAUCUGCGGUGGGUACGGGCAGACUAGAGUGAUGUAGGGGAGACUGGAAUUCCUGGUGUAGCGGUGAAAUGCGCAGAUAUCAGGAGGAACACCGAUGGCGAAGGCAGGUCUCUGGGCAUUAACUGACGSUGAGGAGYGAAAGCAUGGGGAGCGAACAGGAUUAGAUACCCUGGUAGUCCAUNCCGUAAACGUUGGGCACUAGGUGUGGGGGACAUUCCANGUUUUCCGCGCCGUAGCUAACGCAUUAAGUGCCCCNCCUGGGGAGUACGGCCGCAAGGCUAAAACUCAAAGGAAUUGACGGGGGCCCGCACAAGCGGCGGAGCAUGCGGAUUAAUUCGAUGCAACGCGAAGAACCUUACCAAGGCUUGACAUGGGCCGGACCGGGCUGGAAACAGUCCUUCCCCUUUGGGGCCGGUUCACAGGUGGUGCAUGGUUGUCGUCAGCUCGUGUCGUGAGAUGUUGGGUUAAGUCCCGCAACGAGCGCAACCCUCGUUCCAUGUUGCCAGCGCGUAAUGGCGGGGACUCAUGGGAGACUGCCGGGGUCAACUCGGAGGAAGGUGGGGACGACGUCAAAUCAUCAUGCCCCUUAUGUCUUGGGCUUCACGCAUGCUACAAUGGCCGGUACAAAGGGUUGCGAUACUGUGAGGUGGAGCUAAUCCCAAAAAGCCGGUCUCAGUUCGGAUUGGGGUCUGCAACUCGACCCCAUGAAGUCGGAGUCGCUAGUAAUCGCAGAUCAGCAACGCUGCGGUGAAUACGUUCCCGGGCCUUGUACACACCGCCCGUCAAGUCACGAAAGUUGGUAACACCCGAAGCCGGUGGCCUAACCCCUUUGGGAGGGAGCNUCGU